This 219-nucleotide ribosomal RNA is filed under the name uncultured bacterium. RNAcentral describes it as "partial 16S ribosomal RNA". It matches the Rfam family "Bacterial small subunit ribosomal RNA", at positions 581 to 793 of the family's 1533-position model. The record is from RNAcentral.
CGUUAAGUCAGAUGUGAAAGCCCGGGGCGUUAACCGUCGGAAUUGCAUUUGAAACUGGCAGGCUAGAGUCUUGUAGAGGGGGGUAGGAAGUUUCAGGUGUAGCGGUGAAAUGCGUAGAGAUCUGAAGGAAUACCAGUGGCGAAGGCGGCCCCCUCGGACAAAGACUGACGCUCAGAUGCGAAAGCGUGGGGAGCAAACAGGAUUAGAUACCCCUGGUAG